This 460-nucleotide ribosomal RNA is filed under the name uncultured bacterium. Its description in RNAcentral is "partial 16S ribosomal RNA". It matches the Rfam family "Bacterial small subunit ribosomal RNA", at positions 338 to 795 of the family's 1533-position model. The record is from RNAcentral.
CCUACGGGUGGCUGCAGUGAGGAAUAUUGGUCAAUGGGCGUAAGCCUGAACCAGCCAAGUCGCGUGAAGGAUGAAUGUUCUAUGGAUUGUAAACUUCUUUUAUAAGGGAAUAAAGUGAGGGACGUGUCCCGUUUUGUAUGUACUUUAUGAAUAAGGAUCGGCUAACUCCGUGCCAGCAGCCGCGGUAAUACGGAGGAUCCGAGCGUUAUCCGGAUUUAUUGGGUUUAAAGGGUGCGUAGGCGGGUUGUUAAGUCAGUUGUGAAAGUUUGUGGCUCAACCGUAAAAUUGCAAUUGAAACUGGGAGGCGUGAGUACAGUUGAGGCAGGCGGAAUGCGUGGUGUAGCGGUGAAAUGCUUAGAUAUCACGAAGAACGCCGAUUGCGAAGGCAGCCUACUAAGCUGCCACUGACAGUGAUGCUCGAAAGUGUGGGUAUCAAACAGGAUUAGAUACCCGAGUAGUC